RNAcentral lists this ribosomal RNA (385 nucleotides) under uncultured bacterium. Its description in RNAcentral is "bacterial SSU rRNA". It matches the Rfam family "Bacterial small subunit ribosomal RNA", at positions 355 to 732 of the family's 1533-position model. The record is from RNAcentral.
UAGGGAAUCUUCGGCAAUGGGGGGAACCCUGACCGAGCAACGCCGCGUGAGUGAAGAAGGUUUUCGGAUCGUAAAGCUCUGUUGUUAAGGAAGAACGAGUGUGAGAAUGGAAAGUUCAUACUGUGACGGUACUUAACCAGAAAGGGACGGCUAACUACGUGCCAGCAGCCGCGGUAAUACGUAGGUCCCGAGCGUUGUCCGGAUUUAUUGGGCGUAAAGCGAGCGCAGGCGGUUAGAAAAGUCUGAAGUGAAAGGCAGUGGCUCAACCAUUGUAGGCUUUGGAAACUGUUUAACUUGAGUGCAGAAGGGGAGAGUGGAAUUCCAUGUGUAGCGGUGAAAUGCGUAGAUAUAUGGAGGAACACCGGUGGCGAAAGCGGCUCUCUGG